CCCUUAGAUGUUCUGGGCCGCACGCGUGCUACACUGAGUGGAUCAGCGGGUCAGGUUGCGCGAAAGUGUUUCCUAAUCUUGAAAUCCGCUCGUGAUGGGGAUUGACGGUUGCAAUUUUCCGUCAUGAACGAGGAAUACCUUGUAAGCGCGGGUCAUCAUCCCGCGCUGAAUACGUUCCUGCCCUUUGUACACACCGCCCGUCGCUCCUAUCGAUUGAGUGGUCCGGUGAGGCUUUGGGAUCUGAGCGGAAAGAGCGUUUCGCUGUUUCUGCUCGGAAAACUCAGUCGAACCUUAUCAUUUAGAGGAAGGAGAAGUCGUAACA
Molecule: ribosomal RNA, 322 nt
Filed under: uncultured eukaryote
Lineage: Eukaryota
Description: partial 18S ribosomal RNA
Rfam family: Eukaryotic small subunit ribosomal RNA
Source: RNAcentral